CCACCCCCCCCCCAACUUCCUUGUGAUUUUUUAAAUAACGUUUUCUUCCCUGUAGCUUUACUUCCCAUAAGAAUACAGUAUAGAGUGCAUACGACAUACAGAACAUGGGUUAAUGGACUAUGUUGUCAGUGAGGCUUCUGGUCAGCAGCAAUCGAUUAGUAGUUAAGUUUUGGGGGAGUGAAAAGUAUGGACUUUUGGGGGCACCUGGC
This is a long non-coding RNA of Lynx canadensis (Canada lynx), 209 nucleotides long. RefSeq lists it as uncharacterized. The record is from RefSeq and is a predicted model, not a curated record. The transcript is spliced from 3 exons. NCBI's taxonomy places the organism in Eukaryota, Metazoa, Chordata, Mammalia, Carnivora, Felidae.